RNAcentral lists this non-coding RNA (145 nucleotides) under uncultured Lachnospira sp. The record is from RNAcentral. Lineage: Bacteria; Bacillati; Bacillota; Clostridia; Lachnospirales; Lachnospiraceae.
UGCUGUUUCUUAUACUUUCCCUUAACCCCAUAGAUAUGCGGGUACAAGGAUGUACCCGCAAGUGAGGCCGUGCCAAGGAGGGCACGUCCGAACGGUAUCGUCCAAUAAAGAUACCUACAUGGAAAGUAUUAGAAACAUCCAACCG